UAGAUAGAGGAGCAUUAAAUAAUAGUACAGUAGGGAGAUGGCAAUCUAUGAACUAUUGGAAAGGAGAUAAUGCCGAAACACUAACAAGGCAUUGUUAGUAGUUGGGAAUAUGGGAAAUACCCAUAUAACUGCCAUUGAAAAUGGGUGAGCUA
This 152-nucleotide non-coding RNA is filed under the name Sneathia sanguinegens. RNAcentral's name for it is "Lysine riboswitch". It matches the Rfam family "Lysine riboswitch aptamer". From Rfam's summary of the family: Riboswitches are metabolite binding domains within certain messenger RNAs that serve as precision sensors for their corresponding targets. Allosteric rearrangement of mRNA structure is mediated by ligand binding, and this results in modulation of gene expression. Lineage: Bacteria; Fusobacteriati; Fusobacteriota; Fusobacteriia; Fusobacteriales; Leptotrichiaceae. The record is from RNAcentral.